Polypterus senegalus (gray bichir) is the source of this 269-nucleotide long non-coding RNA. RefSeq lists it as uncharacterized. The transcript has 3 exons. The record is from RefSeq and is a predicted model, not a curated record. Lineage: Eukaryota; Metazoa; Chordata; Cladistia; Polypteriformes; Polypteridae.
GUGAGGACUGCUACAAAGAAGUCAGAGCGGCUCAGACAGGCAUGGAGGGAAGUCACAUCACUGUGACAUCAAGUGACAGACUCCAGCAGAUCACCGAUGUGACAGUAAGUGACACCAGUGGAAGAGGCAGAAAAAGAGGCUGGAUGGAGGCACCGAGAACUGCAGCUACUCCUCAGCUGGUGGUCUUUCACCUUCUCAGCCUUCUCUUCCUUGAUGCUGCAAGAAGAAAAAGACUGGCGAUCUGCGUCACCACCACCCGAUCAAAGCAC